This 87-nucleotide transfer RNA is filed under the name bacterium. Its description in RNAcentral is "tRNA-Leu". It matches the Rfam family "tRNA". Rfam says of the family: Transfer RNA (tRNA) molecules are approximately 80 nucleotides in length. Their secondary structure includes four short double-helical elements and three loops (D, anti-codon, and T loops). The record is from RNAcentral. RNAcentral also lists the same sequence under 3 other names.
GCGGAUGUGGCGGAACUGGCAGACGCGCAGGUCUCAGAAGCCUGUGAUGGAGACAUCGUGGAGGUUCAAGUCCUCUCAUCCGCACCA